Long non-coding RNA from Passer domesticus (house sparrow), 3055 nucleotides. RefSeq lists it as uncharacterized. Lineage: Eukaryota; Metazoa; Chordata; Aves; Passeriformes; Passeridae. The transcript has 3 exons. The record is from RefSeq and is a predicted model, not a curated record.
UCCGGGGCUCUCAGCCCACAGCCCUCGGCAGGGCUACGGGCUCUGCAGCGAGGCACUCCUCCCGCCAGAGUCGUGUGAGGAGGUUUUACUGAAAGUGUGACCCAUUGCGAAACCUGGAGCAGAUGUGACCUGGAACCCAGGAAGCCAGCCACAGGCAAGCAAAGGCCCUGCUUCUUAAGAGGAAUUACUGUGUGGAAGCUCCUUUGCUGGGAAGAUAGCAGCAAUCUGUAAGAUGCUAAGAUGGGAGUAUGCCAAAGACCUGUCAGUCUUUCCUUCAACUUCUGCCUUGAACCCAAAUGCCUGAGCUGAGUCCAAAGACUCUUCUCUUCUCUAGUGUCUGGGGUCAAUAACUGGAGAACAUCCCCAGCCCGGGAUGCUGCAGCACCAAGAGAUGCACAGCACAGCAAGCACUUCUCCUCAGACCACAUGCAAACAAGGUCACUCCAAUUCCCCAUCUCUCCCCUCACUGCAAACAUUACUGGCCUUGUAAGUAAUUACUGUUCAGUCUCCUGGUGUCAUACAUUUGAACCAAAAUAAUUCAUACCUGAGGUUCCAAGAAAUUGCCAGUAGUUUUUGUUGUUCACUAAGAACUUUAUGUUAGGAUGCAGAAAAGAAUUAUUAAUUUGGGGUUUGCAUAUGACUGUCCUUUGAGAAGACAGAAACAGCCAAUCCUGAGGACCUGGGCUCCUGUCUGUUUGGAAGGAAGUAUUAUUUGUUCAAGCUGAGUUUCUGUUUCCCCAACAUUCCUUCCUGUUACAAAUCUCAGUUAGCCAUGGUGUGUCAGUAUCAUGCCUUGGACUUUUUAGAGGCUUAGGGUUGGCAUUUCUGACUGAAAGGUUGUGCCCAACACUUAAGAGUGUCACUGUAUGGGAGUUCAAAGUUCACAGGGACUUCAUCCCAUAAUACUUUGCAUUCUUCCAGUUGCAAAGGAAUACUUACAGUGAUAUUUUUCUAUGAUAUAGAAGUCAUACGAUACAUCCAAGUAUAGUCCUGAGAAAUCUUUCCUGAGAAAUCUUUUCUGCACUUCUGGCUAGACAAAAGUACUUAUUACAAAAGAAACACAGAUGUCUGUAGGUUCUGUACAUGCAGGAGCCUAACAUUUGGAGAAAUAAAUAGCUCUGGAUCACACAGAGGAACCAGUACUGUUCUUUCUGUGGUAAUGAAGAACAGGAUAUGUUGUAGGCACAAUAUUAUUAAUAAAUAGUGAGCAAUGCAAUAUGAAUCUGUAAUUCAAUUUAGGAUUUCAGCUGAAAUUGCUCUUUGGAAUUACAGAUGGCAGUGAGCUCUGAAAAUUGAAUUACAGUCCAAACAGGAACUGAGUCAUGUGUAGCAAUGGUCUAGGGAAGCAUAGACUCACAAUCAGCACUGGGCAAGAUAUUAUUGGCAGUACUAUAUUCACAGAAAAGAAAGGCAUUUGGUGGACAUAAAUUAAAUGUAACUGAUCUUAUAAAUCAAUAUGUGAUAGAAAAACGGGGGAACAUUUAAAUCUAUUGAUUUUUAAAUGGCAACUUUAUUUUUAAAGCUGAUUCAAGCUGAAAAACAAUUAUUGAAAGGUUUCAUUAAUCUGAAGCUUAAACAUGGCAUUUUGGAGGGGAAAAUUUUAAUAUUCAGUUUACCUGAGAACAUAAUUUUUAUACUUUCUGAAAUAUCUCCUGAAUUUCUAUUUUAGUUGAAGCCAGAGAACCGCAGUUUCCCCCUCAUUUCCUCAGUUUAGCCACUGAGCUGAAAGGUCCCUUGUUGUUUUAGCCAGAAUAAAGGCUGAUGUUUUUCAAAAAGGAGGGGAGUGUCAUUGCUUUAAAUGUCACCAGCAAUCUUCUCUAACAGAAGAGGUCAGUGUUGGGGGCCUAAUUUCUGAGUUUAAACGGAUCACCAAAGGUUCAAACAAAAAAUAGGACAAAUACAGCUAGAGCUGAUGUCCAUUUCUAGCCUUGCCAGAACAGAAGUAGCAGCCCAGGUUGCCCAGAGAGGUGUUGGAUGUCCCAUCCCUGGGAAGAUUCAGGUUGGAUGGGGCUCUGAGCAGCCUGAUCUGGAAGAUGUCCCUGCUCAUUGCAAGGGGGCUGGACUGGAUGGCCUUUAAAGGUCGCUUCCAAAUCAAAUUCUGUGAUUCUGUGGUGAGUUCACUUGUUCCUCACUGCUUGUCCCCUUCUGGGAUUGAAAGAAAACUCCUGCACAAGACAGUUCUCUGGAUUUCUAAGCCACAGCUGUGUUACCCUGGGUAAUGUGCUAAGUGUAAAAGCCACAUAGAGAUAAAUCUUUACUUCAUGGUACUGUCUGUAAUGAGGCUAAAUUGAUUAAUUUCAGGAAAGUGUUUAAAAUCCAUUAUGGAAGCUGUUAAAUAAAUAGAGUUUUCAAGCAGUAAAGCAUAAGAUUAUGUUCUUCUGAAGCACCAUGAAGCAGUAUUGUUAAAUUGGUGAGCCAAUAUGAUGUACUUGUUAAGCACCACAGUAAAUCUAUAGAUUCUCUCUCUUUCAUCUAAAUCAUCCUGUAAGAAAUCCACAAGCAUACUGAUUGUCUCCUUUCCUGCCAGUCUGGAAAGACUGGUCAGAGAAGGCAGGAUGCUGAAAACCAGGCUACCUUCAGAGAAGAACUUGACAAGGUCAUCUGUCUUUACAUAUGUAAUAUCUUUUCUAACAUCUGGCUCCCAAAUAAAAUUAUAUCAGACAAAAACUUAGAACUGUGCCUUUGGGUUUUGGUGGAAGAUAGAGUGAGUAGUCUCCUUUUAUAUCAACCACUAGCAUUGCAACUUUUUUCUGGUUUCCUGAUGAACAUUUUGCAUGGUUCUAAUGAUAGGUCAUAACUACUUUGUUGAAUGUUUCAGUGACAGUAAACACAGCAAAAAUUAUUGUCUAGAAUACAUUGUUCCUUAAAGCUCUCUCACUAGUUUAGGAAAACUGUGGCUAAAAACUGUGGCAUUUGGAUGACCUUCCUUUUGCUGUUCUCCAGCUAAUACUAACACUCAAAUCUAGUAUAAAUAAAAGCAAACAUUAAUGAUAAUAAACUCUCAAAUUCAGUCACUGGUUUGUUUAUAGCUAGGUUGGUACUUGAGGGAUCCAGU